This 353-nucleotide long non-coding RNA is filed under the name Mytilus galloprovincialis (Mediterranean mussel). Lineage: Eukaryota; Metazoa; Mollusca; Bivalvia; Mytilida; Mytilidae. The record is from RNAcentral.
AAUUUUUAAAAUUUUUAUUUUAUAAUUAGAAUAUCACUUUAGUUCAGUUUUGUCAAAAUAAGCUACAAACAUCAAUGCAAUUUUUAUUUGUCUAUUAGUAAACAGACAGAUGUAUUGAUUUUUUUAAGAUCCUAUAGUUUAUGGGAUAUUGAUAAAUGGUGAAGAUUAUGGUCAAGGGGCAAAUUUUGUUGUUUAUACCCCUUGUAGGGCACUAUUAAGACAAAGUCAUUUUAAAAGUCUUCCUUUUUGAUACAUUGAGUAUAUAAAAUUUGUAUUUUUCUACAUUUCUUCUUUUCUUUUACUGUCAUUUUUUGAUAUUGGAGAUAUUAGUGUAUACAAGUAUAUGGCCGUGA